Molecule: non-coding RNA, 24 nt
Filed under: Arabidopsis thaliana (thale cress)
Lineage: Eukaryota; Viridiplantae; Streptophyta; Magnoliopsida; Brassicales; Brassicaceae
Source: RNAcentral
UCUCCUACCGCACCAAUCACCAUC